UGCAGCUAGGGUAAAGGAAACUCACCCCUCCAGCCAGGACACCCCUCCCACCUUAGUGUCAGGGGGAGUUCCUACACUGCUGCAGCCAGGGUAGAGUGGACUUGCCUUCCAGUAAGGGGACCCCUCCAACCUGGGUGUCUGGGUGAGCUCCUCUACCUCUGCAGCAAGGAUAGAGGAGACUCACUCAUCCGACAGGGAGACUCUUCCCACCUGGUUGUCUGAGGGAGCUUGAUUACUGCAGCAGCCAUUGUAGAGGGGAUUCACCCCUAAAGGUGGGAGACUCCUCCCACCUGGGUGUAGGGGGGACCUUCUAUACUACUGCAGCCAGGGUAGAGGGCACUCAUCACUCCAGGCAAGAGACACCUCCCUCCUGAGUGUCACAGAAAGCUAGUAAACCACUACAGCCAGGGUAGAGGGGAGUCGCCCUUUAAAGCAGGAGACCCCUCCCAUCUGGUUAUGUUUUGGGGGCUAGUAUACCACAGCAACCAGAAAAGAGGGGACUCACCAUUCCAAUCAGGAGACCCUUUCCUCUUGGGUGUCUGGGAAAGCUGGUAAACCCCUGCAACUAGGGUAGGGGGAUGUCACCCCUCUAGGCGGGAGAUGACCCCUCCACCAUGGGAAUCAGGGGAAGCUCCUUAAAAUCUGCACACAGGGUAGAGUGGACUCACACUUCUAGCUGUUACCAUUGAGCCCAGUUGGCAACUUCUCUUAUCAUAGUAGAAAUGUAGCUAUUUCUGUGAAGCCCAGCUGAAGUCCAGAGGCCUUGUUUACAUAUUUUUGUGAAAAACUAGUAAGGAGGUGUCCAGCACCUGGAGUGCUGAUUUUUUUUUUCCAGCCAGUGGCCAAGUAAAACAGGGUAAUAGGAAAAGAGGAAGUUUAUCUUUUCUGUAGAGACACUUUGCUGACAGUUCUGAAAUCAGUCAUGGAGAAGAUUUCUG
This 938-nucleotide long non-coding RNA is filed under the name Marmota monax (woodchuck). Lineage: Eukaryota; Metazoa; Chordata; Mammalia; Rodentia; Sciuridae. The record is from RNAcentral.